This 449-nucleotide ribosomal RNA is filed under the name uncultured bacterium. RNAcentral's name for it is "partial 16S ribosomal RNA". It matches the Rfam family "Bacterial small subunit ribosomal RNA", at positions 29 to 523 of the family's 1533-position model. The record is from RNAcentral.
AACGAACGCUGGCGGCAGGCCUAACACAUGCAAGUCGAGCGAGACCUUCGGGUCUAGCGGCGGACGGGUGAGUAACGCGUGGGAAUAUGCCCUUUGGUACGGAAUAGCCUCGGGAAACUGAGAGUAAUACCGUAUGUGCCCUUCGGGGGAAAGAUUUAUCGCCAAAGUAUUAGCCCGCGUUGGAUUAGGUAGUUGGUGGGGUAAUGGCCUACCAAGCCUACGAUCCAUAGCUGGUUUGAGAGGAUGAUCAGCCACACUGGGACUGAGACACAGCCCAGACUCCUACGGGAGGCAGCAGUGGGGAAUCUUAGACAAUGGGGGCAAGCCUGAUCUAGCCAUGCCGCGUGAGUGAUGAAGGCCUUAGGGUUGUAAAGCUCUUUCAGCUGGGAAGAUAAUAACGGUACCAGCAGAAGAAGCCCCGGCUAACUCCGUGCCAGCAGCCGCCGCCG